This 407-nucleotide ribosomal RNA is filed under the name uncultured bacterium. RNAcentral describes it as "partial 16S ribosomal RNA". It matches the Rfam family "Bacterial small subunit ribosomal RNA", at positions 30 to 526 of the family's 1533-position model. The record is from RNAcentral.
AUUGAACGCUAGCGGGAUGCCUUACACAUGCAAGUCGAGCGGAGUGGCGGACGGGUGAGUAAUGUAUCGGAAUCUGCCUGGUAGCGGGGGAUAACUACGCGAAAGCGUAGCUAAUACCGCAUACUAUUGGAGCAGCCUAGAUCGGAUUAGCUAGUUGGUGGGGUAACGGCUUACCAAGGCGACGAUCCGUAGCUGGUUUGAGAGGAGGAACAGCCACACUGGGACUGAGACACGGUCCAGACUCCUACGGGAGGCAGCAGUGGGGAAUAUUGGACAAUGGGCGAAACCCUGAUCCAGCCAUGCCGCGUGUGUGAUGAAGGUCUUCGGAUUGUAAAGCACUUUAAGUAGGGAGGCGUUACCUGCAGAAUAAGCACCGGCUAACUACGUGCCAGUAGCCGCGGUAAUUC